UGGCUCAGAACGAACGCUGGCGGCAGGCUUAACACAUGCAAGUCGAGCGCCCCGCAAGGGGAGCGGCAGACGGGUGAGUAACGCGUGGGAACCUACCUGAAGGUACGGAACAACUCCGGGAAACUGGAGCUAAUACCGUAUGUGCCCGAAAGGGGAAAGAUUUAUCGCCUUCAGAUGGGCCCGCGUCAGAUUAGCUAGUUGGUGGGGUAAUGGCCCACCAAGGCGACGAUCUGUAGCUGGUCUGAGAGGAUGAUCAGCCACACUGGGACUGAGACACGGCCCAGGAUCCUACGGGAGGCAGCACUGGG
This 308-nucleotide ribosomal RNA is filed under the name uncultured Hyphomicrobiales bacterium. RNAcentral's name for it is "bacterial SSU rRNA". It matches the Rfam family "Bacterial small subunit ribosomal RNA", at positions 20 to 358 of the family's 1533-position model. The record is from RNAcentral. Lineage: Bacteria; Pseudomonadati; Pseudomonadota; Alphaproteobacteria; Hyphomicrobiales.